GAUGAACGCUAGCUACAGGCUUAACACAUGCAAGUCGAGGGGAAACGACAUCGAAAGCUUGCUUUUGAUGGGCGUCGACCGGCGCACGGGUGAGUAACGCGUAUCCAACCUGCCCAUCACUUGGGAAUAACCUUGCGAAAGUAAGACUAAUACCCAAUGACAUCCCACGAAGACAUCUGAAUGGGAUUAAAGAUUUAUCGGUGAUGGAUGGGGAUGCGUCUGAUUAGCUUGUUGGCGGGGUAACGGCCCACCAAGGCAACGAUCAGUAGGGGUUCUGAGAGGAAGGUCCCCCACAUUGGAACUGAGACACGGUCCAAACUCCUACGGGAGGCAGCAGUGAGGAAUAUUGGUCAAUGGGCGAGAGCCUGAACCAGCCAAGUAGCGUGCAGGAUGACGGCCCUAUGGGUUGUAAACUGCUUUUAUAAGGGAAUAAAGUGGGUCUCGUGAGACUUUUUGCAUGUACCUCAUGAAUAAGGACCGGCUAAUUCCGUG
This 492-nucleotide ribosomal RNA is filed under the name uncultured bacterium. Its description in RNAcentral is "partial 16S ribosomal RNA". It matches the Rfam family "Bacterial small subunit ribosomal RNA", at positions 28 to 507 of the family's 1533-position model. The record is from RNAcentral.